GUCGAGCGCGAACGUUCCUUCGGGAACAAGUAGAGCGGCGGACGGGUGAGUAACGCGUGGGAAAUUGCCCAGUAGUGGGGGACAACAUUCGGAAACGGAUGCUAAUACCGCAUACGCCCUACGGGGGAAAGCAGGGGAUCUUCGGACCUUGCGCUAUUGGAUAUGCCCGCGUCGGAUUAGCUAGUUGGUGAGGUAAUGGCUCACCAAGGCAACGAUCCGUAGCUGGUCUGAGAGGAUGAUCAGCCACACUGGGACUGAGACACGGCCCAGACUCCUACGGGAGGCAGCAGUGGGGAAUAUUGGACAAUGGGCGCAAGCCUGAUCCAGCCAUGCCGCGUGUGUGAAGAAGGCCCUAGGGUUGUAAAGCACUUUCAGUAGGGAGGAAGGCCUUAAAGUUAAUACCUUUGAGGAUUGACGUUACCUACAGAAGAAGCACCGGCUAACUCCGUGCCAGCAGCCGCGGUAAUACGGAGGGUGCGAGCGUUAAUCGGAAUUACUGGGCGUAAAGCGCGCGUAGGCGGUUAGUUAAGCUGGAUGUGAAAGCCCCGGGCUCAACCUGGGAACUGCAUUCAGAACUGGCUGGCUAGAGUACGAGAGAGGGUAGUGGAAUUUCCUGUGUAGCGGUGAAAUGCGUAGAUAUAGGAAGGAACAUCAGUGGCG
RNAcentral lists this ribosomal RNA (660 nucleotides) under Gammaproteobacteria bacterium GUDS1170. RNAcentral describes it as "bacterial SSU rRNA". It matches the Rfam family "Bacterial small subunit ribosomal RNA", at positions 61 to 717 of the family's 1533-position model. Lineage: Bacteria; Pseudomonadati; Pseudomonadota; Gammaproteobacteria. The record is from RNAcentral.